AGCAGCCGCGGUAAUUCCAGCUCCAAUAGCGUAUAUUAAAGUUGUUGCAGUUAAAAAGCUCGUAGUUGAAUUUCGGGAUUUGCACAUCGGUCGUGCCUUAAGGGGUAUGAACUGGUGUAGUGAAUUUCUCACCUUCUGGAGAACCGUGAUGUCCUUAAUUGGGUGCCACGAGGAACCAGGACCUUUACUUUGAAAAAAUUAGAGUGUUUAAAGCAGGCAUUUUUGCUUGAAUACAUUAGCAUGGAAUAAUAAAAUAGGACGGCAUGGUUCUAUUUUGUUGGUUUCUAGGACCACCGUAAUGAUUAAUAGGGAUAGUUGGGGGCAUUAGUAUUCAAUUGUCAGAGGUGAAAUUCUUGGAUUUAUUGAAGACUAACUACUGCGAAAGCAUUUGCCAAGGAUGUUUUCAUUAAUCAAGAACGAAAGUUAGGGGAUCGAAGACGAUCAGAUACCGUCGUAGUCUUAACCAUAAACUAUGCCGACUAGGAAUCAGACGAUGUUAAUUUUUUAAUGACUCGUUUGGCACCUUACG
RNAcentral lists this ribosomal RNA (529 nucleotides) under uncultured Glomeromycotina. Its description in RNAcentral is "SSU rRNA". It matches the Rfam family "Eukaryotic small subunit ribosomal RNA", at positions 569 to 1092 of the family's 1831-position model. The record is from RNAcentral. Lineage: Eukaryota; Fungi; Glomeromycota.